CCGACCAGCCAAAUACCUCAUAAAGGGCCAGUCCUGUUGGUUUAAACGAAUUCGCCCUUAGAGUUCCAUCCUGGUUCAGGACGAACGCUGGCGGCGCGCCUAACACAUGCAAGUCGAACGAGAGAGAGGAAGCUUGCUUCCUCAAUCGAGUGGCGAACGGGUGAGUAACGCGUGAGGAACCUGCCUCAAAGAGGGGGACAACAGUUGGAAACGACUGCUAAUACCGCAUAAGCCCACAGGUCGGCAUCGACCAGAGGGAAAAGGAGCAAUCCGCUUUGAGAUGGCCUCGCGUCCGAUUAGCUGGUUGGUGAGGUAACGGCCCACCAAGGCGACGAUCGGUAGCCGGACUGAGAGGUUGAACGGCCACAUUGGGACUGAGACACGGCCCAGACUCCUACGGGAGGCAGCAGUGGGGAAUAUUGCACAAUGGGGGAAACCCUGAUGCAGCGACGCCGCGUGGAGGAAGAAGGUCUUCGGAUUGUAAACUCCUGUUGUUGAGGAAGAUAAUGACGGUACUCAACAAGGAAGUGACGGCUAACUACGUGCCAGCAGCCGCGGUAAAACGUAGGUCACAAGCGUUGUCCGGAAUUACUGGGUGUAAAGGGAGCGCAGGCGGGAAGACAAGUUGGAAGUGAAAUCUAUGGGCUCAACCCAUAAACUGCUUUCAAAACUGUUUUUCUUGAGUAGUGCAGAGGUAGGCGGAAUCCCGGUGUAGCGGUGGAAUGCGUAGAUAUCGGGAGGAACACCAGUGGCGAAGGCGGCCUACUGGGCACCAACUGACGCUGAGGCUCGAAAGUGUGGGUAGCAAACAGGAUUAGAUACCCUGGUAGUCCACACCGUAAACGAUGAUUACUAGGUGUUGGAGGAUUGACCCCUUCAGUGCCGCAGUUAACACAAUAAGUAAUCCACCUGGGGAGUACGACCGCAAGGUUGAAACUCAAAGGAAUUGACGGGGGCCCGCACAAGCAGUGGAGUAUGUGGUUUAAUUCGACGCAACGCGAAGAACCUUACCAAGUCUUGACAUCCUGCGACGUACAUAGAAAUAUGUGUUUCCUUCGGGACGCAGAGACAGGUGGUGCAUGGUUGUCGUCAGCUCGUGUCGUGAGAUGUUGGGUUAAGUCCCGCAACGAGCGCAACCCUUACUGUCAGUUACUACGCAAGAGGACUCUGGCAGGACUGCCGUUGACAAAACGGAGGAAGGUGGGGAUGACGUCAAAUCAUCAUGCCCUUUAUGACUUGGGCUACACACGUACUACAAUGGCGUUAAACAAAGAGAAGCAAGACCGCGAGGUGGAGCAAAACUCAGAAACAACGUCCCAGUUCGGACUGCAGGCUGCAACUCGCCUGCACGAAGUCGGAACUGCUAGUAAUCGUGGAUCAGCAUGCCACGGUGAAUACAUUCCCGGGCCUGUACACACCGCCCGUCAAGGGCGAUACGCGGCCGGUAAUUCAUCGCCCUAUAUGUUAUCUGGGG
This 1474-nucleotide ribosomal RNA is filed under the name uncultured bacterium. Its description in RNAcentral is "bacterial SSU rRNA". It matches the Rfam family "Bacterial small subunit ribosomal RNA". The record is from RNAcentral.